ACUAUCAAGGAUUCCCAUAGUAGCGGCGAGCGAAACGGGAAGAGCCCAUCGCUGAAUCCUGCGGCCCCGGCGGGCCGCCGGGAAAUGUAGCGUUAGGGAGGAGAGUUAUAUUUAUACACGCGCGGUCAUUAGUCACGGCUGCCUGUCCAAGUUCAUCUUGAACGGGGCGCUCCGCUUGCCCGCAGAGGGUGCCAGGCCCGUGGUGACGGUACCGGCCGCGACGGUCUCUCUCCCAAGAGUCGGGUUGCUUGAGAGUGCAGCCCUAAGUGGGUGGUAAACUCCAUCUAAGGCUAAAUACUACCACGAGACCGAUAGCGAACAAGUACCG
RNAcentral lists this ribosomal RNA (328 nucleotides) under Palaeagapetus nearcticus. Its description in RNAcentral is "eukaryotic LSU rRNA". It matches the Rfam family "Eukaryotic large subunit ribosomal RNA", at positions 64 to 353 of the family's 3401-position model. The record is from RNAcentral. Lineage: Eukaryota; Metazoa; Arthropoda; Insecta; Trichoptera; Hydroptilidae.